AUCUCUACAACAAUCAGUGAACUGACCUCAGAGUCUUCAGGAUGCAGUCUGGACUCUCUAGAAAACCACACAGAUGCUUCACUCCUGAAUCCUUCAGGUUGUUCUCACUCAGGUUCAGAUGUUCCAGAUGGGAGGGGUUGGACUUCAGAGCUGAGUUCAGAGAAUCACAGCUGGUCUCUGACAAACUGCAUUGAUUCAAUCUGAAUGAAG
This is a long non-coding RNA of Stegastes partitus (bicolor damselfish), 210 nucleotides long. RefSeq lists it as uncharacterized. Lineage: Eukaryota; Metazoa; Chordata; Actinopteri; Pomacentridae. The record is from RefSeq and is a predicted model, not a curated record. The transcript has 3 exons.